This 119-nucleotide ribosomal RNA is filed under the name Pteropus alecto (black flying fox). Lineage: Eukaryota; Metazoa; Chordata; Mammalia; Chiroptera; Pteropodidae. The record is from RNAcentral.
GUCUAUGGCCAAACUACCCUGAACAAGCCCGAUCCAGUCUGAUCUCGGAAGCUAAGCAGGGUCAGACCUGGUUAGUACUUGGAUGGGAGACCACCUAGGAAGACCAGGUGCCAUAGGAG